RNAcentral lists this ribosomal RNA (495 nucleotides) under uncultured bacterium. Its description in RNAcentral is "partial 16S ribosomal RNA". It matches the Rfam family "Bacterial small subunit ribosomal RNA", at positions 28 to 505 of the family's 1533-position model. The record is from RNAcentral.
GACGAACGCUGGCGGCGUGCCUAAUACAUGCAAGUUGAGCGCCGAAGGUUGGUACUUGUACCAACUGGAUGAGCAGCGAACGGGUGAGUAACGCGUGGGGAAUCUGCCUUUGAGCGGGGGACAACAUUUGGAAACGAAUGCUAAUACCGCAUAAAAACUUUAAACACAAGUUUUAAGUUUGAAAGAUGCAAUUGCAUCACUCAAAGAUGAUCCCGCGUUGUAUUAGCUAGUUGGUGAGGUAAAGGCUCACCAAGGCGAUGAUACAUAGCCGACCUGAGAGGGUGAUCGGCCACAUUGGGACUGAGACACGGCCCAAACUCCUACGGGAGGCAGCAGUAGGGAAUCUUCGGCAAUGGACGAAAGUCUGACCGAGCAACGCCGCGUGAGUGAAGAAGGUUUUCGGAUCGUAAAACUCUGUUGGUAGAGAAGAACGUUGGUGAGAGUGGAAAGCUCAUCAAGUGACGGUAACUACCCAGAAGGGGACGGCUAACUACG